Molecule: long non-coding RNA, 2631 nt
Organism: Sander lucioperca (pikeperch)
Lineage: Eukaryota; Metazoa; Chordata; Actinopteri; Perciformes; Percidae
Source: Ensembl
GGAGUAAUGGCUGCUAGUUGGCUCUGGUUGGGGGGGAGAUUAUACCAUUUGAGUCUUAUUUUAUUCUCAUUUAAUUCUUCAGGUCCCCGAGGUGAAGCUCUGCAGCAUGGCCAGUCUGGGACACUGCCUCACUUCCUGGAGGAGCCUGUUGAUGCUUACAUCAUCAAGAGUAACCCCAUCAAACUCCGGUGUCAAGCUCGGCCUGCUCUUCAAAUCUUCUUCAAGUGCAACGGCGAAUGGGUCCACCAGAGCCAGCACAUGUCGCAGGAGCACACCGACAUGGGGACAGGGCUGAAGAUCCGCGAGGUGAUGAUCAACGUGUCACGUCAGCAGGUGGAGGACUUUCAUGGACCCGAGGAUUACUGGUGUCUGUGUGUCGCCUGGAGUCACCUGGGAACCUCCAAGAGCCGCAAGGCAACUGUCCGGAUCGCCUACCUGAGGAAGAACUUUGAGCAGGACCCCCAAGGCACUGAGGUGCCUCUGAAUGGCAUGAUUGUGUUGCACUGUCGUCCCCCAGAGGGAGUGCCUGUGGCUGAGGUGGAAUGGCUGAAAAAUGAAGAACCUCUUAACUCUGACGGUGCCAUUGAUACAAGAGGCGACCAUAAUCUCAUCAUCUCUGAAGCCCGUCUCUCUGAUUCCGGAAACUAUACCUGUGUUGCCAGCAACAUUGUGGCCAAGAGACGCAGUGCCACUGCCACUGUUGUAGUUUAUGUGGAUGGCGGCUGGGGAGAGUGGAGCGAGUGGUCAGUGUGUAGUUCAGACUGUGAGAGGCAGCGCGGCAGAGAGUGUACAGCUCCGGAGCCCAAACAUGGAGGGCGGCUGUGUGACGGGGUGGCACUGGCUACAGACAACUGCACCGGCGGCCUCUGCACACAGAGUGUGGAGAACAGCAGCGAUGUGGCCUUGUAUUCAGGCCUUGCUGCGGGGGUGGUGACAGUGGUGCUGCUGAUCAUCGCUGUCACUCUUUACCGAAGGAGCCAGAGUGAGUACGGUGUGGAUGUCAUCGACUCCUCCGCCCUCACUGGGGGCUUCCAAUCCUUCAGCUUCAAGACCUCUCGUCAAGCAAACCCCCUGCUAAUUAAUUCAUCCAUGCAACCUGAUCUGACAGUGUCGCGUACCUACACCAGCCCCAUGUGUUUUCAGGACUCUAUUGACAAGGAGCUGAUGGCCGAGCGCUCACUCCUUGACCCAUUGCCCGAUCUCCAAGUCAAAGGUCAGUGUUAUUUCAUUGUAUCUCUAGGUGUGGCAGAAAGGGCGGAGUACCUUGUCAUGUCCCACCCUCAGACAUUUCCAAGGGGCCUGGCUCCAGACUAUAGAGGGGUCGCAGUUGGGACGACGCUGGGCAGAAGAGGCAAAAACCUUUUCACUCCGCAAGUGUCUUUGACUCCCUGCAAGCCUCUCCACAAAGCAACUGCGGUGUUUGGUCAUGCUGGAGGCAGGCUGGUGGUGCCUAACACAGGUAUCAGUCUGUUGGUGCCUCAUGGGGGGAUCGCGGAAGACACUACCUGGGAAAUGUAUAUGAUCAUCAACCAGGAGGACAGCAGCACUGUGUCCGAGGACGGGCCAGAGAUCUUCUUGAGCCCUACUGUCACGUACGGCCCACCAGGCCUUGACCUGUCCUGUCCCAUAGCCAUGACCAUAGCCCAUUGUGCGGAGGUGGCGGCUGAUAAUUGGACCAUCCGGCUAAAGAGACAAAUGCAGGACAACAAGUGGGAGGAAGUGAUGUCUGUGGACGAGGAGAGCACGUCCUGCUACUGUCUGCUAGACGCCCAGAGGUGCCAUGUGCUAUUGGAGCAUCCGGGUCGCUACGCCCUGGUGGGGGAGCCACUGAACCAGGAGGCGGCCAAGCGGCUGAGGCUGGCUGUGUUUGGAAGUCCGGAUAACUGCAACUCUCUGGGCUUCACCCUCAGGGUCUACUGUGUGGACGACACGCCUCAUGCAUUUCAGGAGGUGGCGGUGGGCGAGCGCAGCAGGGGCGGGCGGCUGCUGGAGGAGCCUAAAAUGAUGCUGUUUCGGGGGAACACUUUCAGUCUCCAGGUGUCCAUCCAGGACAUCCCACAGUUACUCUGGAGCAUCAAGCCUUUCACCACCUGCCAGGAGUUCUCCUUUUCUCAGGUGUGGGCCAGUAACCAGCGUCCCCUGCAGUGUGCCUUCUCUUUGGAGCGAUACAACCACUCCUCGUCUCAGCUCUCCUGCAAGAUCGGCAUCCGCCAAGUCAAAGGCGAGGAGCAGAUUCUCCAGGUCUAUACGUCUGUGGUGGAGAAUGAAAAGGGAGUGGUUCCCUUUUUCACUCAGUCAGACUGCACCAUCACCUCUCAGACAGGGUCAAGGGCCUUUAAAAUCCCUGUGUCCAUCCGUCAGCGGAUCAGUGCCACCUUUGACACCGCUAACGCCAACGGGAAGGACUGGCAGCUUUUGGCUCAAAAGCUCCACAUAGACAGGAACCUUUGCUACUUUGCAUGUCAGGAGAGCCCAUCAUCAGUGAUUCUGAGUCUGUGGGAAGCCCAGCACCAGGACUCGGGGGACCUGGACUCUCUGGCCAGUGCUCUUGAGGAAAUCGGCAAAGUCCAGUCCCCCAGGACCGCCACUCUUGGCUGCAGCAGAGAAGAACGGGACUCAGAAUUCACUUAA